UACGUAGGUUCCGAGCGUUGUCCGGAUUUAUUGGGCGUAAAGCGAGCGCAGGUGGUUUAUUAAGUCUGGUGUAAAAGGCAGUGGCCCAACCAUUGUAUGCAUUGGAAACUGGUAGACUUGAGUGCAGGAGAGGAGAGUGGAAUUCCAUGUGUAGCGGUGAAAUGCGUAGAUAUAUGGAGGAACACCGGUGGCGAAAGCGGCUCUCUGGCCUGUAACUGACACUGAGGCUCGAAAGCGUGGGGAGCAAACAGG
Molecule: ribosomal RNA, 252 nt
Filed under: uncultured bacterium
Lineage: Bacteria
Description: partial 16S ribosomal RNA
Rfam family: Bacterial small subunit ribosomal RNA
Source: RNAcentral